Daphnia pulicaria is the source of this 570-nucleotide long non-coding RNA. RefSeq lists it as uncharacterized. The record is from RefSeq and is a predicted model, not a curated record. The transcript is spliced from 6 exons. NCBI's taxonomy places the organism in Eukaryota, Metazoa, Arthropoda, Branchiopoda, Diplostraca, Daphniidae.
UGAAAUCGAAACGAAUUAACAUCAGACGACAUCUUUGUUCCUUUAAAAUACUCGCUUAGUAACUAUCAAGUAUGGUGGAUGUCCCGUCCCUGUCAUAAUGUCUACCAUUUUAUUAGUUGUAAGUAAAGCAAUGAGGAGUAACUCAGCUGGGAUGAAAUCCAAUGAACAUACUUGAUUCUGAAGAAGAUAGCAUUGAAAUCUUUCUACAGCAGCAUCAAUUAGUCCAGUGAAAUAUUGAACUAUUCCACUAAUCAGCUCUCAACACUUGAAAAUGCCACAUGGGUUUCCUAAGGUUCUAUAUUUCCGGCAAAUUUGAGUCUGUUUGCCACAGGUCGUCGCACAUGACGUAUUUACGAAUAUUAAAAAGAGGGUACUCAAAAAAAAAUUAAGGUUCAGUUUGUCCUGUGUCAGUGGUCUGGAAUAUUUCACCUAUAAAGGCGUUCCUGGAAUGUUGCAGACUGCACAACAUGAAGUCAGCAGAGAUUUAAUUUAAUUUAAAAUAAAUUGUGCAUAUUGUUAAUUUUUAUGAAAAUAAAUUAUUAGUAAUAAAAUUAUAUUUUUGACCAAGUG